This 315-nucleotide ribosomal RNA is filed under the name uncultured bacterium. RNAcentral describes it as "bacterial SSU rRNA". It matches the Rfam family "Bacterial small subunit ribosomal RNA", at positions 28 to 334 of the family's 1533-position model. The record is from RNAcentral.
GAUGAACGCUAGCGGCAGGCUUAACACAUGCAAGUCGCGGGGCAGCGGGGGAUGUAGCAAUACAUUCUGCCGGCGACCGGCGCAAGGGUGCGUAACGCGUGAGCAACAUGCCCGUCUCAGGGGGAUAACCGGUGGAAACGCCGCCUAAUACCCCAUGGCGAUAUAUUGAGGCAUCUUGAUAUAUCUAAAGCUCCGGCGGAGACGGAUUGGCUCGCGUGACAUUAGCUGGACGGCGGGGUAACGGCCCACCGUGGCAACGAUGUCUAGGGGUUCUGAGAGGAAGGUCCCCCACACUGGAACUGAGACACGGUCCAG